GCCACUUGGCACUCAUCUAUGGACGGAUUCAGUAGAGGCCAAAGAUGAUAGCUAUUAGGAGAAAAUUCGCACAUGCUGAAAAUGUAAAGAAGCCUAAGGCCCAGAACAGUCAGGCCCAAUUCCUGAAAGGUUGAAACCAUGGCCAGCUUGUGAUCAGCCUAUGCUUGAGUAAAACUACCACUGACCUUCAGCUUACAUCGCCUAGGCGAAAGCUGAUAUCGAGGAUUCGUCGGCAAAACUUGAUGAG
This 247-nucleotide long non-coding RNA is filed under the name Elaeis guineensis (African oil palm). RNAcentral's name for it is "long non-coding RNA (EGUI_LNC063397)". The record is from RNAcentral. Lineage: Eukaryota; Viridiplantae; Streptophyta; Magnoliopsida; Arecales; Arecaceae.